This 457-nucleotide long non-coding RNA is filed under the name Sus scrofa (pig). RNAcentral's name for it is "lncRNA (ENSSSCG00060018364.1)". The record is from RNAcentral. Lineage: Eukaryota; Metazoa; Chordata; Mammalia; Artiodactyla; Suidae.
UUCUGGCAAUCACAGUAAGAAAAAUUCUUUGUAUCAAAGUAUUCUGAAAUAUCACAAUCGUGAAGACAGAGAAGAAUAUAGCUAAUCUAUCUUCCACAGUGGAUGACAAUAACAAAGGAUAUCAUCCAGGGAAUUGUUUUGUGCUUAUCAAAGGAGGUUUCUGUUUUUUCUACACCCAUGUAUGCUUUGUGCAAAGCAUAGUGCCAGUGCAUCUCUUGGACACUACUCACCAGACUGCCUCCUACUCCUAAAAUGAUGAAGUCCUUGUUCUCAAGGGACUUGGAUUCUAUCAAGAACAUUGACAAUAAAUCAACAAAUACAUAAUAUUUUUGAGUGGCGAUAAGAACCAUGAAGAAAAAUAAAGCAGGGUAAGAGGAAUAAAAAUGAACUAGCAUUGGAUAAGAGGGUUUUUUUAAUAGGGAAGUGUAACCCCUUUGCUGGCUAGAUGAUAUUUAGG